GGUUUGGAAGGGUCCUUAAAGAUCAUAAAGCCAUGGAAAGGGCUGUGUCUCCUAACAUCUAACCUAACACUAAAAAUUGAGCAUCAUCUCCACCCAUCAUCUCCAUCCCAGACAGACACAGGGAUGGGGCAGCCCCCGCUGCUCCCCACGGACGUACCACAAGCCCCAGGACGAGGGUGCGCACCCGCUCCCCAAUCUCAGGCGAGAUGUCAUUGCCAAACUGCUGCAGGGUGAGACAGACCAUCGACCAUUUCAAGCAACCAUGAAAACGGCCGCGAGGAAGAAACGUCGGAGGGACAGCGUCUCGAUCUGCAAGCAAAAUAAAACACGCUGUGAUGAGAGAGCAGAGGGACAGCUCUCAGCCCGGGGGGGGGCCUGGUUUGUGCACAGCACCACGGGCACAGCUCUGUGUGUCCCAUUGGAGCUCAGCGGGUGCUCCACUGCCCCAUUGGGUCCCUGGCAAAACUUCCAUGAGGGUGAGAACAAGUCAAAACGCUGCCCCAAAGCAGGGUCAGGAUGGUGGCAGGGCACCCAUACCAAUGGGAUGGAGAUGCCCACGGCCGGCCCCUGUGGAAGGGCUGGGAUUAAAAAGCAAAACCCAUCAGAGCACAGACGGGCACAAUCCGAUUUCUAAUUAGAGGACAUCUGGCUGGGAGCAGGGCUGGGGUUGGGGUGUCAUUUUGGGUCCGUUUCAUCCCUGAUGGGGUUUCUAUGCAAGGAGAUACAGGAAUGCAUGUGCUUAGAGAGAGACCUCAGCAAGCCACAGCAACCCUGAUGCUGCCCAUCUGUAUCCCAGGGCUGCACCACUGGUGUUGGGACCAACCUGAGUGUGAGUCCUGCAGGCACACGGUGAGUGCACAGAGCACUGGUGCAGCCAGGGCUCCCCCCAGCUACAGAGACCCUGAUGGCAACACGCUGUGAUCCGGACACAGGCAGGAGGACCCCCACCACGUGGGGCCGUGACACUGUCCCAGCACCCUGCAGCAGUUCUGCACCCAGGGCUGCACCGGUGCUGCUCCUAUUUGGUGACCACAUGGCAGGAGUGAGACCUGGACAUCCCCAUCCCCAAGCAUCUCUCCAGGAAUGAGCAGAGCGCACAGCACCUCAAUCCCUACUGUGGCACACAGACGGCACGAGGACACCGCACACCCCCAACACGGUGCAAGCCCAACUUUGCCACCCAUCCCCAUCCCCAUCCCCAUCCCC
Non-coding RNA from Phasianus colchicus (ring-necked pheasant), 1206 nucleotides. NCBI's taxonomy places the organism in Eukaryota, Metazoa, Chordata, Aves, Galliformes, Phasianidae. The record is from RefSeq and is a predicted model, not a curated record.